Molecule: long non-coding RNA, 500 nt
Organism: Arabidopsis thaliana (thale cress)
Lineage: Eukaryota; Viridiplantae; Streptophyta; Magnoliopsida; Brassicales; Brassicaceae
Product: other RNA
Exons: 1
Source: RefSeq
AGGGAGGGUAAAAUAGUCAUUCACAACCCAACCCAAGAAAAGCCCUAGAAAACAGAGUGAAUAAAAAGGGUUGCGCCACUCUUGUCUUCUUCGUAACUCAUCUUCCUCAUAAGUCUCUUUGUUAAUCUCUAUCGUUUUUGUUUUGUGUUUUGAUAUUUGGGGAUAAAAUCCGCCUCCUUGAGUAGCUUUAUGAACCCUAAGUUAUUUAGGCAAUUUCAUACUUAUUGGCUUAGUUAGGAGGCGUAAAUCAAUUCUGAUCAUUCAAUACUUUUCUGUAUUGUUUUGAUUCGUGGCUUCUUUGGUUUUUGUGGAGAAGCUUCUUUGUGUUUUCUUAAUUCAAAUCAAAGCUUCUUCCCCAAAAAGUUUCAGACAGAAGAAUCUGUGUAUAGAGUGAUAUGUAUAUGAAUAGCCUCCGAAUAACGGGAAUGUGAAAUAUAGGAACACCUUCUUGUUCAGACAGAGGCUUAUAUCAAAAUCCGAAUCAGUUUUGGGUGUGAAAA